RNAcentral lists this ribosomal RNA (386 nucleotides) under uncultured bacterium. RNAcentral describes it as "bacterial SSU rRNA". It matches the Rfam family "Bacterial small subunit ribosomal RNA", at positions 370 to 772 of the family's 1533-position model. The record is from RNAcentral.
AAUGAGGGAAACCUUGACGCAGCGAUGCCGCGUGUGGGAAGACGGCCCUAGGGUUGUAAACCACUUUCAGCAGGGACGAAAUUGACGGUACCUGCAGAAGAAGCCCCGGCCAACUACGUGCCAGCAGCCGCGGUAAUACGUAGGGGGCGAGCGUUGUCCGGAUUUAUUGGGCGUAAAGAGCUCGUAGGCGGUUCAGUAAGUCAGAUGUGAAAACUCAGGGCUCAACCCGGAGACGCCAUCUGAUACUGCUGUGACUCGAGUCCGGUAGAGGAGUGUGGAAUUUCUGGUGUAGCGGUGAAAUGCGCAGAUAUCAGAAGGAACACCAAUGGCGAAGGCAGCACUCUGGGCCGGUACUGACGCUGAGGAGCGAAAGCGUGGGGAGCAAA